AACGAACGCUGGCGGCAUGCCUAACACAUGCAAGUCGAACGAGACCUUCCGGCCUAGUGGCGCACGGGUGCGUAACGAGUGGGAACUUGCACUUAGGUUCGGAAUAACUCAGUGUAAUUUGAGCUAAUAACGGAUGAUGUAUUCGGACCAAAGAUGUAUGGCCUCUGGAUGGGCCCGCGUUGGUUUCGCCGGUUGGGGGGGUAAAGGCCUAGCAAGGCGACGUUGCUUAGCUGGUGGGGGACGAGGACCCACCACACUGGGACUGAGACACGGCCCAGACUGCUACGGGAGGGAGCAGUGGAGAAUAUAGUGCGAUGGAGGAUAGCGUGAUCCAGCAAUGCCGGGUAAGUGAUGAAGGCCUUAGGGUUGUAAAGCUCUUUGACCCGAGAUGAUAAUGACAGUAUCGGGAGAAUAAGCUCCGGCUAACUCCGUG
RNAcentral lists this ribosomal RNA (433 nucleotides) under uncultured bacterium. RNAcentral's name for it is "partial 16S ribosomal RNA". It matches the Rfam family "Bacterial small subunit ribosomal RNA", at positions 29 to 507 of the family's 1533-position model. The record is from RNAcentral.